This 459-nucleotide ribosomal RNA is filed under the name Triticum aestivum (bread wheat). RNAcentral describes it as "partial small subunit ribosomal RNA". The record is from RNAcentral. Lineage: Eukaryota; Viridiplantae; Streptophyta; Magnoliopsida; Poales; Poaceae.
AUGAUACAGUGUGCUCAUAAAAGGAAGCUGCCAGUUAUCGCCUUGAAGUUGGAUUUUCACAAAGCUUUUGAUAGUGUUAGCUGGCAUUGCCUGGAUCAAGUUCUUGAGGCCCGGGGUUUUCCACCCUCAUGGAUUCAGUGGGUUCAUUCUCUCCUUUCCACUAGACGCUCCCGUGUUCUAAUCAAUGGUGAGUUGGAUGAUCCCAUUCUUGCCAAAAGAGGCUUCCGGCAAGGUGAUUCCUUGUCCCCGUAUCUCUUCAUCCUGGUUGCGGACGUGCUACAGAGAUUAUGUUGCCAACACUUCCAGGAGGGCACCCUGCUUCAUCCCAUGGGCCCUGACAGCUUCUUACCAGUGCUGCAGUACGCGGACGACACUUUGAUACUUUUUCGGGGUGACAUUCAACAGGCGUCUGUAAGCAAGAGCAUCCUUACCUCUUUUUCAGACUUCUCCGGGCUGUAG